Molecule: long non-coding RNA, 657 nt
Organism: Scylla paramamosain (green mud crab)
Lineage: Eukaryota; Metazoa; Arthropoda; Malacostraca; Decapoda; Portunidae
Exons: 5
Source: RefSeq, a predicted model, not a curated record
UUAGGUGGGUGUCCUAUAGUAGAAUUUGAAUUUUGGCGGGUAAGGCUGGCUGUUUCAACCUCCAUUCCUCCACCUCUUUCUUGUCCGCCACCUUCCCAGCAGUUCCCUGGACUCCACUAAUGUCGAGAUUCGGCCAGGCGUUGACUUGUCCACGAGCCACAUUAUCUUCAUCCUUAACGUAAUCUUGGAUCCCUCUGCUGUCAGCCUCUCCACAUAACGCCCAGGCGGAGGAGAACCAUGAACCACAGAGAGCAGCCGUGUGGCGCGUGGAGUCUCUGCCAGUACGCCAUCUGCAGGGACCCGCCGCCCCUCAACCCGUCAUCACCUCCUGCAUGAUUCAAGAGGCACAAAUCAGGGCCAGGAACCACCACCACCACCACCACCACCACCGAGGUAUCAAAGCGUGGGUCGCGGCGCCUGUCGUCCCCUCUUCGCCUUAUCACCCCACGCGCCGCACCAACUGUCGAGGUGUUCCUUCCGCACCUCGGGGACGCGCUCCAGGCACCAUGGCGCACCUGUCCCUUUCCUUACGCCUCACAUUUCCAGGAAACCGUAAUAUUAUAGAGCUCGCCAUUCCUCCUGCCCAUCCUGCGGCGCCCUUUGUGUCACUCCACCACCGUAUGUCCGCUGUGUUGAGCUAUUAUCUGUGUCACUUUU